AACCUAUAGACCCAGGGAACUCAAGGAGUUUGAGUUCUCUUUUGCAACCCCAGGUCAGGUGGGGCUACCCGCUGAGUUUAAGCAUAUC
Molecule: ribosomal RNA, 88 nt
Filed under: Exocarpos sparteus
Lineage: Eukaryota; Viridiplantae; Streptophyta; Magnoliopsida; Santalales; Santalaceae
Description: partial 28S ribosomal RNA
Source: RNAcentral